AUUGAACGCUGGCGGCAGGCCUAACACAUGCAAGUCGAGCGGAUGAAGGGAGCUUGCUCCUGGAUUCAGCGGCGGACGGGUGAGUAAUGCCUAGGAAUCUGCCUGGUAGUGGGGGAUAACGUCCGGAAACGGGCGCUAAUACCGCAUACGUCCUGAGGGAGAAAGUGGGGGAUCUUCGGGCCUCACGCUAUCAGAUGAGCCUAGGUCGGAUUAGCUAGUUGGUGGGGUAAGGGCCUACCAAGGCGACGAUCCGUAACUGGUCUGAGAGGAUGAUCAGUCACACUGGAACUGAGACACGGUCCAGACUCCUACGGGAGGCAGCAGUGGGGAAUAUUGGACAAUGGGCGAAAGCCUGAUCCAGCCAUGCCGCGUGUGUGAAGAAGGUCUUCGGAUUGUAAAGCACUUUAAGUUGGGAGGAAGGGCAGUAAGUUAAUACCUUGCUGUUUUGACGUUACCAACAGAAUAAGCACCGGCUAACUUCGUG
This 484-nucleotide ribosomal RNA is filed under the name uncultured bacterium. RNAcentral's name for it is "partial 16S ribosomal RNA". It matches the Rfam family "Bacterial small subunit ribosomal RNA", at positions 30 to 507 of the family's 1533-position model. The record is from RNAcentral.